Molecule: ribosomal RNA, 542 nt
Filed under: uncultured bacterium
Lineage: Bacteria
Description: partial 16S ribosomal RNA
Rfam family: Bacterial small subunit ribosomal RNA
Source: RNAcentral
UGGGGAAUAUUGCACAAUGGGCGCAAGCCUGAUGCAGCCAUGCCGCGUGUGUGAAGAAGGCCUUCGGGUUGUAAAGCACUUUCAGCGAGGAGGAAGGUGGUGAGCUUAAUACGCUCAUCAAUUGACGUUACUCGCAGAAGAAGCACCGGCUAACUCCGUGCCAGCAGCCGCGGUAAUACGGAGGGUGCAAGCGUUAAUCGGAAUUACUGGGCGUAAAGCGCACGCAGGCGGUUUGUUAAGUCAGAUGUGAAAUCCCCGGGCUCAACCUGGGAACUGCAUUUGAAACUGGCAAGCUAGAGUCUCGUAGAGGGGGGUAGAAUUCCAGGUGUAGCGGUGAAAUGCGUAGAGAUCUGGAGGAAUACCGGUGGCGAAGGCGGCCCCCUGGACGAAGACUGACGCUCAGGUGCGAAAGCGUGGGGCAGCAAACAGGAUUAGAUACCCUGGUAGUCCACGCUGUAAACGAUGUCGAUUUUGGAGGUUGUGCCCUUGAGGCGUGGNUUCCGGAGCUAACGCGUUAAAUCGACCGCCUGGGGAGUACGGCC